UACGGGGGGGGCAAGCGUUGUUCGGAAUUACUGGGCGUAAAGGGCUCGUAGGCGGCCAACUAAGUCAGACGUGAAAUCCCUCGGCUUAACCGGGGAACUGCAUCUGAUACUGGAUGGCUUGAGUUCGGGAGAGGGAUGUGGAAUUCCAGGUGUAGCGGUGAAAUGCGUAGAUAUCUGGAGGAACACCGGUGGCGAAGGCGGCAUCCUGGACCGGUAUUGACGCUGAGGCGCGAAAGCCAGGGGAGCAAACGGG
RNAcentral lists this ribosomal RNA (253 nucleotides) under uncultured bacterium. RNAcentral describes it as "partial 16S ribosomal RNA". It matches the Rfam family "Bacterial small subunit ribosomal RNA", at positions 524 to 776 of the family's 1533-position model. The record is from RNAcentral.